GCAAAUCGACGAGAUUGAUUUCAGGAGAGAAAAGUUCACUCCCAAGAUUGAAUGGUGUAGCUCAAGAUGGGAUGAAUUUGCGUCAAUCACUCCAAUUCGAGCUUGAUCUCUUAGCCCCACAACUCCCUUUUGAUGAUCAUGUUGUAAAGACUCAGUCGUUGGCUCAAUCUUGGAAAACCCAAAUCCAAAGGUAGCUUUUUAAGCUUUUUAUUUAUUUAUUGAUUGGUUUUUCUCUUACACACCAUGAUACUGUGUAGAAGAGUGUAUUCUCAAUAUCCAGUUUGCCCUAUUUAAAACAGUUUCAUUCCUAUACUGUGUGUAAAAGUAAUGUGAAGGAAUUCAGCAAUGUGGGGUUUCAAAGGUUGAUUAGGAAAUGGGGAUUUUUAAAUUUUCUUGUUUUCAUGUGAUCAAAUUGAAAUGUUUUAGUCUUUGGCACAACUUUGGAAACUCAAAUCUUAAUGUGGCUAUAAAGUAAACACUUCAUACAUUUGUUCCAGGUUGAUGCUAUGAUACUAUGUAGAAAAAUAGUUAGGGCUGCAGAGUUAUUCGGUAGCUGCGCUGGUGGGAGGUAGCAGGUAUCCGAUGAAAUAGCCAAGGUGUGCCCAAGCUGGUCACAAUACCACCAUCAUUAAAAACAAAGAAGGGAGUAGUUGGGUGUGGCUAUAUAUAAUCUCUAUAUUUCUUCUACACUAUUUGGAUUUAUUUCGUUCCUAUACUGUGUAGAAGAGUAAUGUGAGGAAGUCAGAGAUUUUGGGCGUGAGGUUGGUUCAGAAUAGGAAAGAUUUUCACUUGUCUUGUAUUUUAGUUUAUAGAUAAUGAGUCGGGUGAUCAUUACUUGGUAAUACAAUGUGGAACCUGACAAAAUAUGGGUGCGCUUGUUUGGAAGACAGAUUUAACUGAAUUGGGUUUUUGGAAUUAACUUAGUAAUUACGUUAUAAUGGAA
Molecule: long non-coding RNA, 943 nt
Filed under: Nicotiana tabacum (common tobacco)
Lineage: Eukaryota; Viridiplantae; Streptophyta; Magnoliopsida; Solanales; Solanaceae
Description: long non-coding RNA (NTAB_LNC004677)
Source: RNAcentral